RNAcentral lists this ribosomal RNA (439 nucleotides) under uncultured bacterium. RNAcentral describes it as "partial 16S ribosomal RNA". It matches the Rfam family "Bacterial small subunit ribosomal RNA", at positions 339 to 795 of the family's 1533-position model. The record is from RNAcentral.
CCUCGGGCGGCACCAGUGGGGAAUAUUGCACAAUGGAGGAAACUCUGAUGCAGCAACGCCGCGUGGAGGAUGACACUUUUCGGAGCGUAAACUCCUUUUAUAUAGGAAGAAGAUGACGGUACUAUAUGAAUAAGCGCCGGCUAACUCCGUGCCAGCAGCCGCGGUAAUACGGAGGGCGCAAGCGUUACUCGGAAUCACUGGGCGUAAAGAGCGUGUAGGCGGAUUAAAAAGUCAGAAGUGAAAUCCUAUAGCUUAACUAUAGAACUGCUUCUGAAACUCUUAAUCUAGAAUAUGGGAGAGGUAGAUGGAAUUUCUGGUGUAGGGGUAAAAUCCGUAGAGAUCAGAAGGAAUACCGAUUGCGAAGGCGAUCUACUAGAACAUUAUUGACGCUGAGACGCGAAAGCGUGGGGAGCAAACAGGAUUAGAUACCCCGGUAGUC